GAGGGUGACAGGUGGUGCAUGGUUGUCGUCAGCUCGUGUCGUGAGAUGUUGGGUUAAGUCCCGCAACGAGCGCAACCCUCGACCUUAGUUGCCAGCAUUCAGUUGGGCACUCUAAGGUGACUGCCGGCUAAAGUCGGAGGAAGGUGGGGAUGACGUCAAAUCAUCAUGCCCCUUAUGACCUGGGCUACACACGUGCUACAAUGGGCGGUACAAAGGGUCGCGAACCCGCGAGGGGGAGCCAAUCCCAAAAAGCCGCUCUCAGUUCGGAUUGCAGGCUGCAACUCGCCUGCAUGAAGCCGGAAUCGCUAGUAAUCGCGGAUCAGCAUGCCGCGGUGAAUACGUUCCCGGGCCUU
This 353-nucleotide ribosomal RNA is filed under the name uncultured Anoxybacillus sp. Its description in RNAcentral is "bacterial SSU rRNA". It matches the Rfam family "Bacterial small subunit ribosomal RNA", at positions 1027 to 1382 of the family's 1533-position model. The record is from RNAcentral. Lineage: Bacteria; Bacillati; Bacillota; Bacilli; Caryophanales; Anoxybacillaceae.